GGUCAAAUUAUUAAGGGCUUACGGUGGAUGCCUUGGGACCAAGGGCCGAUGAAGGGCGUGGUAAGGCUGCGAUAAGCCUCGAUGAGCCGUCUAACAGGCAUAGUCGGGGAUUCCCGAAUGGGGUAACCUGUUCCGGUGUUGAGCCGGUUCAUCCGCUUCGGCGGAGGGUAAGCGGGGGAACUGAAACAUCUAAGUACCCUGAGGAAAAGAAAUCAACCGAGAUUCCCUAAGUAGUGGCGAACGAACGGGGAAUAGCCUAAACCGGUAUGACCAAACGGCGUGAGGGCCUAUGUCAUACCGGGGUUAUAGGGAACACCUUGGGUCGCCUCACCAGACCCGAUGAAGUUACCAAUCUUGUUUCUAGCCGAAGGCUCCUGGGAAGGGCCGUCAUAGAGGGUGAUAGCCCCGUAGGCGAAAGGGACGAGACUUCCGGUGUUUACCUGAGUACCACGGGGCACGGGAAACCUUGUGGGAAGUUGGGGGGACCACCCUCCAAGGCUAAAUACCCUUGGUCACCGAUAGCGCACCAGUACCGUGAGGGAAAGGUGAAAAGAACCCCUAGCGGGGAGUGAAAUAGACCUGAAACCGUAAGCCUACAGAAGGUCGCAGCCUCGAUUCAGUUCGGGGUGACGGCGUGCCUAUUGAAGAAUGAUCCGGGGACUUACUGUAUGGAGCAAGGUUAAGGAACUGGAGUUCCGGAGCCGUAGCGAAAGCGAGUCUGAAUAGGGCGCUCAGUUCCAUGUAGUAGACUCGAAACCGGGUGAGCUACCCAUGGCCAGAUUGAAGGUUCGUUAACGCGGACUGAAGGAUCGAACUCGUGGCUAGUACAAAAGCUUGGGAUGAGCUGUGGGUAGAGGUGAAAUGCCAAUCGAACCCGGAAAUAGCUAGUUCUCCCCGAAAUGCAUUUAGGUGCAGCCUCGGGAAUUAGGAGGACGGAGGUAGGGCACUGAAUGGGCUAGGGGGCGUGAGCUUACCAAACUCAAUCAAACCACCAAUGCCGUUCUGCCGAUACCCGGGAGUGAGACAGUCACAGAUAAGUGCGAUUGUCAAAAGGGAAACAGCCCAGACCACCGGCUAAGGCCCCCAAGCGCAGGCUAAGUGGGAAAGGAGGUGGGGUUCCCAAAACAACCAGGAGGUUGGCUUAGAAGCAGCCAUUCCUUUAAAGAGUGCGUAAUAGCUCACUGGUCGAGGGGUCCUGCGCCGAAAAUGUAACGGGGCUUAAGCCUGCCGCCGAAGCCGUGGAUGUUCAGGUUCAAGAAUCUAAUUCCAGCCUUGGGGUUCUGCCCUAAAGCUGGAGUGAAGGUUCUUGGUUCCGCCUGGGCGUGGUAGGGGAGCGUUCCUCGGGCGAUGAAGGUGAGUCGUGAGGCUUGCUGGAGCGCGGGGAAGUGAGAAUCCCGGAAUGAGUAGCGUAAAUCAGGGUGAGAAUCCCUGACACCGAAAGCCCAAGGUUUCCUACGCAACGUUGUUCGGCGUAGGGUUAGUCGGUCCUAAGCCGUAGGCAAGCGCCGAAGGCGAUGGACAGCAGGUUAAUAUUCCUGCACCGCCGUUGUUUUGUUGAUACUCGGAGGGGUGCGGAAGGGUAGGUCGGGCGUCUUAUUGGAUUGGCGUCCUCCUCCGUAGGCGAGCCAGGGCAGGCAAAUCCACUCUGGCGUUAAGCUGAGGGUUGAGGGAAUCGUAGCCUAAGGGCUAACGAAAUCCGGCUGAACCCAAACCGACAAGAAAAGCUUCGUUUGGAGAAGCAGCGGCGACCGUACCGCAAACCGCCACUGGUGGGCUGGGAUAAAAGUCCCUAGGUGUUCGAGCUAACCUCCGCUAAGGAACUAGACAAAAGAGCCCUGUAACUUUGGGAGAAAGGGCCCCCCGGGGGGUGAAGCCGCGAGCCGGUGGAGCGCUCUGGGGGCGCAGAGAAGAAGGCCGGGCGACUGUUUAACAAAAACACAGGUCUGUGCUAAGGGGAAACCCUACGUAUACAGGCUGACGCCUGCCCAGUGCCGGAAGGUUAAGGGGAGGGGUGCAAGCUCCGAACUGAAGCCCCGGUGAACGGCGGCCGUAACUCUAACGGUCCUAAGGUAGCGAAGUCCCUUGUCGGGUAAGUUCCGACCCGCAUGAAUGGUUGAACGACUUGGCCAUUGUCUCGGCGGAGGGCUCGGUGAAAUUGCGGUGCCCGUGAAGACGCGGGCGACCCGCGGCAGGACAAAAAGACCCCGUGGAGCUUUACUGUAGCCUGGCAUUGGGCUGGGAGCUGUCAUGUGUAGGAUAGGUGGGAGACUUUGAAGCCCCUACGCCAGUAGGGGUGGAGUCGCCGUUGAAAUACCACCCUUGGCUGUUUUUGGUUCUAACCUCAGCAAAACUGGGGAACAGUGCUUGGUGGGCAGUUUAACUGGGGCGGUUGCCUCCUAAAAAGUAACGGAGGCGCCCAAAGGUCCUCUCAGGACGGAUGGAAAUCGUCCACAGAACGCAUUGGCAUAAGAGGGCUUGACUGCGAGACCUACAAGUCGAGCAGGGACGAAAGUCGGGCAAAGUGAUCCUACGGCACCGUGUGGAAGGGCCGUGGCUUAUCGGAUAAAAGCUACCCCGGGGAUAACAGGCUUAUCUCGCCCAAGAGUUCACAUCGACGGCGAGGUUUGGCACCUCGAUGUCGGCUCGUCCCAUCCUGGGGCUGAAGGCGGUCCCAAGGGUCCGGCUGUUCGCCGGUUAAAGGGGUACGUGAGUUGGGUUCAGAACGUCGUGAGACAGUUCGGUCUCUAUCCGCCGUGGGCGCAGGAGGCUUGAGGGAACCUCUCCCUAGUACGAGAGGACCGGGAGGGACAGACCUAUGGUGUUCCAGUUGUUCCGCCAGGAGCAGCGCUGGGUAGCCAUGUCUGGCAGCGAUAAGCGCUGAAGGCAUCUAAGCGCGAAGCAUCCCCCAAGAUGAGGCCUCCCUUCCCGAUUAACUUCGGGAGUAAGACUGCAGAGAGACUAUCUGCUUGAUAGGUCGGAUGUGUAAGGCUGGCAACAGUUUCAGCAUACCGAUACUAACCGGUCGAGCGAUUUGACCCA
Molecule: ribosomal RNA, 3039 nt
Filed under: Chloroflexota bacterium
Lineage: Bacteria; Bacillati; Chloroflexota
Description: 23S ribosomal RNA
Rfam family: Bacterial large subunit ribosomal RNA
Source: RNAcentral